AGCAUAUCAAUAAGCGGAGGAAAAGAAACCAACAGGGAUUGCCCUAGUAACGGCGAGUGAAGCGGCAACAGCUCAAAUUUGAAAUCUGGCUACAUCCCGUAGUCCGAGUUGUAAUUUGUAGAGGAUGCUUUUGGUGAGGUGCCUUCCGAGUUCCCUGGAACGGGACGCCAUAGAGGGUGAGAGCCCCGUACGGUUGGAUACCAAGCCUCUGUAUAGCUCCUUCAACGAGUCGAGUAGUUUGGGAAUGCUGCUCUAAAUGGGAGGUAUAUCUCUUCUAAAGCUAAAUAUAGGCUAGAGACCGAUAGCGCACAAGUAGAGUGAUCGAAAGAUGAAAAGCACUUUGAAAAGAGAGUUAAACAGCACGUGAAAUUGUUGAAAGGGAAGCGCCUAUGACCAGACUUGUUUCUGGCAGUUUCGUUAGCCCUCGGGCUGAUUUACUCUGUCCAGUACAGGCCAGCAUCAGUUUGCUGUCGGGGAGAAAGGCUCUGGGAACGUAGCUCCCCCCUUCUGGGGGGAGUGUUAUAGCCCUCUGCAUAAUACCCUUCGGCAGACUGAGGACCGCGCUUCGGCAAGGAUGCUGGCGUAAUGGUCAUCAGCGACCCGUCUUGAAACACGGACCAAGGAGUCAACCUUAUGUGCGAGUGUUUGGGUGUAAAACCCCAGCGCGUAAUGAAAGUGAACGUAGGUGAGAGCUUCGGCGCAUCAUCGACCGAUUCUGAUGUUUUCGGAUGGAUUUGAGUAAGAGCACACAGGGUUGGACCCGAAAGAAGGUGAACUAUGCUUGUAUAGGGUGAAGCCAGAGGAAACUCUGGUGGAGGCUCGCAGCGGUUCUGACGUGCAAAUCGAUCGUCAAAUAUGAGCAUGGGGGCGAAAGACUAAUCGAACCUUCUAGUAGCUGGUUCCAGCCGA
RNAcentral lists this ribosomal RNA (909 nucleotides) under Ceratocystis fimbriata. RNAcentral's name for it is "LSU rRNA". It matches the Rfam family "Eukaryotic large subunit ribosomal RNA", at positions 37 to 964 of the family's 3401-position model. The record is from RNAcentral. Lineage: Eukaryota; Fungi; Ascomycota; Sordariomycetes; Microascales; Ceratocystidaceae.